Odocoileus virginianus texanus is the source of this 1625-nucleotide non-coding RNA. The record is from RefSeq and is a predicted model, not a curated record. NCBI's taxonomy places the organism in Eukaryota, Metazoa, Chordata, Mammalia, Artiodactyla, Cervidae.
CAGAGUUGGACACGACUGAAGGGACUUAGCACGCAUGCACCAGCGCAAAGAGAGUAUUUGGAAGAGAAAGUUGUAUUGGAGAGUGUGUGAAGUCCCUUUUAGAGGUGAUUCCUGGUGUGUCAGGACUUUUGUUAGCAGGCAGAGGGGACUAUGUCAGGAGAGAUUUGGGUAAACUCCAGUGUCAGGAACAGAGAGAAGUCCUGGGAUUCUGAAGUGGGUGAAGAGAAAAGAAGAGUGGUCCCAUGUCCUCCCUUCACUGACAUUUUUCCUUCAUAAUGACACUUAACCCCAUCACAGUACCAACUGUGAAGAUUACGUCCACAUCCUCAUCAUCUUACUGAAUCCCUAUAACAGCAGGGCUGGUUUAUCAUUGUCUUCACUUGGCAGUUGAGAAGCCUGGGACCCUAUAAAGCCACUUGCUGGAGGUCACACAGGUAGUAGGUGAGGGAGCUGGAACUGGAACUCUCUCCUGGUUCUCCUUCCAUGGACUGGCCUAGCCCACCCUGGGGGCCAUGUGAGAGUCAAGGUUAGAGGCAGGUGAGUGCUGACAUUGGCAUCAGCCUUGGACACAGGGAUUACAUUAGCAGGUUCUGCUUUUGGCAUCAGGUAGCCCUGGGGAGGCAGGGUAUCCUGUUGGCACUGAGCCUGCCCCCAGGUAGACUCUAGGGUUAAACACGUUGAUACUGAACCUGAUGCCAGGAAAACAGUAAUAGAGCCACUUGUAUCAAGAGGGCUCUGAGGGCUGCCUUCAGGACAGCAUAAAGCUGGCAGCAUAGAGAUCCAGAGGCUGGUCCAAGUGGGUUCUGAUAUGAACAUCCCAUGGGUGCUGAGAUGGAUCCUCUGUGGGCCUGAGAGGGGGCCCCGGAUGGACCCCAGACAGGCUCUGACAGUCGGACAACCCUGCUCAGGUGCCACCUCUAACCUUGGACAAGAACAGCAUCACGGUCUUUGCAUCAGGUGGCCAAAGUAUUGGAUAAGAAACCAUGACAGGCACCAAGUAGAAGAUGAAAUUAAAUGACUUUCCAAGCCAGGGAUUCUGAGAUUCCACAUCCUAAGGUUCUAAAGUGUGAAGAGUUGAAAGCUGUGUGAUUCUAAAGUUUCAGGAUGAUGUCUUCUUUCCAGUGGGGAAUGAGGUCUGCCAGCAACUUCAGGAACUGCUCGUCCUCAUAGUCAAAGCGGCUUCCAAAGACGACGGAACUGAUGACGUUGGAGACAGUGCGGCUCAGGAAGAAAAAUGUGAAGAUCACCAGGAUGGACACGUGGCAAACAGGAAGAGGCUGCAGACCUCUCAGAUCUCUGUGUAACCAGGAAGAAGGAAUUAACCUUGGCCAUGGGCCCUGGCUACAAAGGUCCUGGGACUCAGCUUCUUCGGUAACCUGAAUACCUUCAGAUUAAAUUUCCUGGGGGUUGGAUCUCACUUGGGAGCUUACCAUGCUGUGGAGUUUAUAUAACUUCUAGUCCUUCCUCUGAAUGACCAUUGAGUGCCGAGCUCAUGAGGUGGUUCUCUCCACUUUGUCCCUCCAGUCCCCUCCUCAUUCAUGUCCACACACUCCAAUUUUAUUCUUUGAGAGCAUGGAGGGCUUCCCUGGUGUCUCAGACAGUAAAAAAUCUGUCUGCGAUGCAGG